This is a non-coding RNA of Salvelinus namaycush (lake trout), 453 nucleotides long. The record is from the annotation of a RefSeq genome assembly. Lineage: Eukaryota; Metazoa; Chordata; Actinopteri; Salmoniformes; Salmonidae.
AUGGACAUUAGACUGUUGGUAUUGGUAUUAUUUUGGGUUUGUGUUGAGAAAUCUGCUGAGGACUGUCUCAACUACCUUCAGAGAACUACACAUAUCACCAUGUUUCCUACCACAGCAGUAUUCUUACUGACAGUCUAUCUAACAGGUGUUCAUGGUCAGACACUGACUGAGUCUGGACCAGUGGUUAAAAAGCCUGGAGAAUCCCACAAACUGACCUGUACAGCCUCUGGGUUCACGUUCAGUAACUAUUAUAUGGGCUGGAUCAGACAAGAAAAAGGGAAAGAGUUUGAGUGGAUUGGUCAUAUUCAUGGUGGUAAUACGUAUUACUCCCAGUCAUUUCAGGGUAGAUUCACCCUCUCCAGGGAUGACUCCAGGAGUAAACUGUACCUACAGAUGAACAGCCUGAAGAGUGAGGACACAGCAGUGUAUUACUGUGCCCGGUACACACAGUAA